CCCUCCACCUGCAGGAGUUAGUGACAAGGAGGGCGCGCGCUUGGGUCUAGGGGUGGGGAGGCAGUGGCCAGUUCAGGGCUCCGAUUGAGAGAGGUGGCAAAGUUUAGAGGCAGCCACUAGGAUGUGGGUGCGGGGAGAAGCGGGGCUAACUAGAAAGGAGACUAGGUUUUGGGACAGCGGUCAUGUAGUAGGCAGACUCCGAACCGCCUUUAACAGUCCACACAGGGCCAGCAGCCUUCAAGGCCUGGCAUUUCCUGCGGUCUGCUGGCAUGGGGGCACUUGACGUCCAGGAGGGCACAAGCAAGUUUCACAGGCCUACAUCGGGCGGGUGGCCUAGCUUGAGUCGCAGAGCAGCAGUUGGUGGAGACAGGUGGACUGGGGCCCUUGAGGCCUGGGAAACCAUAGACAGGCGGCCGGGCAGAAGUCCGGGCAGUACUAGGUGCACAGUGGAGGUCGCCUCCGAACUUGACAACACCAGCAGACCCUUUUUUUCCAGAUAAGGGGCUGUGAACCCUCCUGGGGAUGAGGCCUGAUGUUAUGGAAAGUGGACUUAGCUUCGCUGGGCGGACAACUCUGGCCCAGGGUGGUAUGUAACUUGGGUGUGGCCUGUCUGCACCUAUUUCUGGGUGCAAGGGGUGACAGGAGGAGGAGUAGCUGCAGAGACAAGGAGUUGUUUUCACUGACAGGUCAGCCAGGCGGGGACCACGGAGACUGAAGGCGCGCGUUUGGGGGCAGUGUUGAUCACAACUUUAUUUUUCAGAUGGCAGUGCCCUCUCUGGACUUUGCCUAGGUCCCGUGCUCUUCUGUGAUCUCCCUCUCCCCUUCUCUUCUCCUCACCCUGAGGCGAAGGGGUUACUUUAAACAUUGCCUCUGGGUCAUCUGGUAAGCCUGGGGAAGAUGCACAUUCUGCUGGAGUCUCGGGCACAGCAUUUUGGUAUUACUGGUAAAGGUGGAGGUCACCCUGCCUGGGCGGGGAGGGUUGGUGUUGAUUCACAGAGGGUGGGAUGUGAGUGUGGACCCUUGGGUGGGCUCACGGCCGCGGCUCCAGGCACCCAAAUGCUUCACGGACGUGGUUUAUUACUAUAGUGUCCACCAUGACAAGCAGUUGGCACCAGCAGAAAUGGAGCCCCUGCCAGUGAGCCGUAGCAGUGCCGGAGGGAGGGCACGCCCUGGAGGAAACAGCGGCCUAAGCUGAUGCCUACACAGUGAAUUCCAGACAGAGGCUUAGGAAUCUGCGCUGCCAUGGGUCCAGGCCUUUCUCGGGAAGCCCUGUGUGCAGGAGGUCAUCGUUUAAGUCAGCUUGUGGGGGCGGGCAGGUGCUUCCGGCCAGAGGGGCGUCGGCUAUGAAUGUUCCAGAUGAAAGUCAUGUUCUGGGAGCAUCAUUUUUCCUGGAUGCUUUGAGUGCCAGCAGGCGCCCCUUUUCCCGGGGGUAGAGGCAUUCAGCUGCUGCGUCUUCUAAACAAGCCUCCAACCUUUCUAAUUCUGAGCUAUGAACUUGGCCUCGAGAAGAUUGCGUAAGGUGUAGGACACUUUAACUUCAGCACAGCAAGAUGCCUUGUAGAUCUGGAGUCCGACCUCGCCCUCCUCCCCUGUCUGCAGCCUGCCUGCCUCUGCAUUGGUCAGAGGAAUUCAUAACUGAAAACUUUCGGGUGUUGGGGAAAGCUGGUGGGUUUUAAGUGACUGGUGUGGAAGAGUCUUGGAUGGGUGGGGUUUGUGUUGUAAAAGCGUGGGAAGGCACAAGUUAGCCACAAAUUCUGUGGAGUUGGUAGAUGGCAUGGUUGGGCUUUGGGAUGUCUUCUGAACUAAGGGAAGGUGGGCCUGCUGUGAUCCCUGGGAAUUUGUGGGUUUGGAUUUUGUACUGGGUGGUAGGCAAGUGCUAUCUCGCUGAGUGGCAACAGUGUUCAUUAACCUUAAGACAUGGGGCCUGGCUGUGUAUACCAGGCUGGUCUGGGUUCUUGGCCCUGCUAGGAUGACAGGUGUCUUCUAAAACACACCUUCCAAGGUGAAACUUGAGUUACUGAAUUAUGCUUGGGAACAACACUUUUGGCACCAGAUGUGGGACUUGUGGGAAAGAACAGGGCUCAGUUGGGCCCUGGUGUAUUGGUGAAUUGAAGGAGUCGGGGUGCCGGGAAGGGAUGUGUUUGGAAAUGUGGGUUGAUGGGACUAACAGCUUGGGAACUGAAUGACUCUCACUUGAAAACCUAAAGGCUGAUGGUAAAUCCUUAAGGCAGGUGACUAUGUUGAGAUGCUGAGACAGUUGCUUGGAAAAUACCAAAAUCCUACAAGGGGAAAAGCAAAAUUGUUUUGCUUUACUGUUGAAUGGGGAAGGGUGACAAAUAGGGAAGGGUGAUGUUAAAGCUUUUAUUAGUUUCUCAAUAGAUGGUGUCAAUCCCCUGACUCAGGCCAGCCUGCAGGUGGCCUGACUAAGGGCUCUUAGACUUGGCUCUUCUGGGUCUCUUAAUAUUCUGUCAAAUGCUGUCAUCUAAAGAAAUUGAAUAUGGGAUUCAAACCUUAUACAACAAACACAGGAAUUUAAUGUAUGAACUAUGCCUUCAAAACAAUUUGAGUUUCUGGAAUUACCCAGAAGAUAACAGGGUUUGCUUAUUUAACCUUUCAAAUCAGUCAUUGUGACUAGGGGACAUAGUCUGGCACUUGCUAUGAGAUCAUUGUGCUGUGUGGUAGAAAGCCACACCUGUCUACUUCCGCCAAGGCUGUGCUACAGGCAGACAUUGUGGGUUUGGCUCGAAUGGUGCUUGAAAACCAUCCCUGAGCAGAGGGGAAACUAACUGUAACCGUCAGUUAAAGCAUUUUGGGAAAUAAAAGUGAAAAAACUGGGCAGGCGGGAACAUACUAGAUAACGCUCUGUAAAAAUUGGCUCUGAAAACCCUGUUUGUGUAUUUGUGAAAACCCUGUAUAUGUGAUUGUUUUGAGAGUAUGCCUUAAAUGGUGUGACCCAGGCCUGGUCACUCAUUGGAACAGCAGGGUGCUGGUCACGUUGGAAUGGGGAAAUGUGAAGAUGGCUGUAACUGCAGGUCCGCCGCACCCAUUGUGUGCCGAAGUGUUAAGUGUACAAACCCACUAACCAUUUAUCUCUCCCCUUUACAGCAAAAUAAAGGUUUGAGAUUGAA
This is a long non-coding RNA of Apodemus sylvaticus (European woodmouse), 3128 nucleotides long. RefSeq lists it as uncharacterized. The record is from RefSeq and is a predicted model, not a curated record. The transcript has 2 exons. Lineage: Eukaryota; Metazoa; Chordata; Mammalia; Rodentia; Muridae.